AGAGUUUGAUCCUGGCUUAGGACGAACGCUGGCGGCGUGCUUAACACAUGCAAGUCGAGCGAUGAAGCUUCUUCGGAAGUGGAUUAGCGGCGGACGGGUGAGUAACACGUGGGUAACCUGCCUCAUAGAGGGGAAUAGCCUUUCGAAAGGAAGAUUAAUACCGCAUAAGAUUGUAGUACCGCAUGGUACAGCAAUUAAAGGAGUAAUCCGCUAUGAGAUGGACCCGCGUCGCAUUAGCUAGUUGGUGAGGUAACGGCUCACCAAGGCGACGAUGCGUAGCCGACCUGAGAGGGUGAUCGGCCACAUUGGGACUGAGACACGGCCCAGACUCCUACGGGAGGCAGCAGUGGGGAAUAUUGCACAAUGGGGGAAACCCUGAAUGCAGCAACGCCGCGUGAGUGAUGACGGCCUUCGGGUUGUAAAACUCUGUCUUUGGGGACGAUAAUGACGGUACCCAAGGAGGAAGCCACGGCUAACUACGUGCCAGCCGCGGC
RNAcentral lists this ribosomal RNA (494 nucleotides) under uncultured bacterium. RNAcentral describes it as "bacterial SSU rRNA". It matches the Rfam family "Bacterial small subunit ribosomal RNA", at positions 8 to 518 of the family's 1533-position model. The record is from RNAcentral.